ACAAAAUUAACAUUUUUAUUCAAAAAUAAACAACCAUAAAUGUAUCAAACAAACCAAUAUUCACUUCUAAUUCACUUUCAAUCCCCGCCUAGUUUCAUUUUAAAUCAUUGAUUAAACUGAUUCUUUCGGACUAUCAACUCAAUUUCUCUUUUCAAAUUUCAAACCUCCGAAUCCAACAACAAAGAACAUAUACACAACAAUCAUAACCUUAACACAUCACAUGAAGAUGAAAUAAAAUAAGAAUAGAGUUGAAGAAUUAGAUCUCAAUCGCUAAUUUUAUUUCGAUCAAACUGAAUUACUUGAUUCGAGUGCCGCCAAACCUCAAACCAAAUCCAAACUCAACAAACCGCAGUCUUGAACUCAGUUUAAUCACCAAAUCAGGCCAAAAAUAUUAAAAUAACAACAACCCGCACUAAAUUUAGCCUAAAAGGGAUUGAAAUUGGAGUUUCGCCAGAUUAGCUUCAUUUUUGUAGACUAGAUAUGAAUUUGUUGUUGACUUUCUGAUGGAUUUAGACUGUUUUGGUUGGUUUUGAUGCGUUUAUGAUGAGAUAUUCCAUCGCCGAAUAGCGACAAUGAAGGUGGACUGCUGGGGCUAAUUUUGGCUGUUAAUUUAUAAAUUUUAGGUGAUUGAUGAGGCUGGUACCGGCGUCACCCGGUGGGGAUUGCUUCUCCAGUGUUUUAUCUCUCGAUUCCCCUCACUAUGUGCGUGUGUGUGCAAUUUUGUUACUAUGUGUGUGUGUUAGCUGUGUGGUGUAAAUUAUGAGUAUACAUGAGAGUGUCUGUAGGCAGUGUAUGAGUGAUGAACGGAAAUGACAAUUUUUUCUCUGUGUUGUUGUGUAUGCAUGAAUCCCUCCCGAGAAGAUAAAUUACUGUGUGUGUAUAUAUUCAUACUCUAGGUGUGUGCUUUAAUGAAAGUAAUGAUUUUCACCGUGUGUGUUUUCUAUAUGUGUGAGGUAUAUGUGAAUCCAUGAGGGUGAAGCUGUUAGUGAAU
Molecule: long non-coding RNA, 991 nt
Filed under: Capsicum annuum
Lineage: Eukaryota; Viridiplantae; Streptophyta; Magnoliopsida; Solanales; Solanaceae
Description: long non-coding RNA (CANN_LNC018159)
Source: RNAcentral